GCCGGUCCAGCAGGUGGCGGAAAUUUCGUCGACAGCAAUUGCCACAGAGAGAAAAAGGAAGAACAAAGCGGAAGCAGUCCUUUCAUCCGAAGCAGAGAACGGUGGUUUUGUCAAAGAUGCAACAGUGUGGAAAACUGUGGCUUGAAAAGCCUUGGUGUAAUAUUAGUGGAAGCAAGAGGGGUCUAAAGAUGAUGCUGGUAAUAUAUUAAAAGCUUUUACAUGUGGGGAGUUUGACCUCGGGGUCUUGGCACUGAAAUGUAGACCUAAGACUGGUUUGACCUUCAACCUGUGACAAAGACCUUUAAAGAGAGGUGGGUGUUUACUCUGGUGGCGAAGAUCAUGAAGUUGUGGUAAGAAAGUAAAAUUAUCAAUGUGAUUAUUUAAUUAAGUGUACUGAGAAUAAGUGACUGUAAUGUAAAUGUACUGUGAGAAAAAAAAUAAAAUUCAAAUAAUCAA
Cynoglossus semilaevis (tongue sole) is the source of this 456-nucleotide long non-coding RNA. RefSeq lists it as uncharacterized. The record is from RefSeq and is a predicted model, not a curated record. The transcript has 3 exons. Lineage: Eukaryota; Metazoa; Chordata; Actinopteri; Pleuronectiformes; Cynoglossidae.